Molecule: transfer RNA, 71 nt
Filed under: Camelus bactrianus (Bactrian camel)
Lineage: Eukaryota; Metazoa; Chordata; Mammalia; Artiodactyla; Camelidae
Also listed under: 2 other names
Rfam family: tRNA
About the family: Transfer RNA (tRNA) molecules are approximately 80 nucleotides in length. Their secondary structure includes four short double-helical elements and three loops (D, anti-codon, and T loops).
Source: Rfam by way of RNAcentral
GGGUAUAGCUCAAGUGGUAGAGCACAUGCUUAGCAUGCAUGAGGUCCUGGGUUCAAUCCCCAGUACGUCCA